Long non-coding RNA from Musca domestica (house fly), 1936 nucleotides. RefSeq lists it as uncharacterized. The transcript is spliced from 3 exons. The record is from RefSeq and is a predicted model, not a curated record. NCBI's taxonomy places the organism in Eukaryota, Metazoa, Arthropoda, Insecta, Diptera, Muscidae.
GUUCACCGUUGCAAACAUGCUCAGCAAGGCAACUCUCUCAGUCUCUCUCUUUCUCUUUCUAUUUCCCCUGUUGUAAAUGAAUAGUUAGAAAUUGAUAAAGACAAAAUUCCAUUGGUUGUCUGUUUUUUAAUUGCUGAAAUUUUUAUUAUCGACGUAAUGUAACCACAAAGAUCUAUUAUUUCAUUCUUGUUGGUUGGUGGGUGGGGUUUUUGCAUAGAAUCUAUUAAAAGAAAACCUCAUAAAGAUGACUGUGAUCUGUUAUGCGUUUCCUACAAUUAUACUGAACUCGUUCUAUUGAUUACAUCAAUAAAAGAGUGGGAAAGGGAACAAUGCAAGUUUGACAAUUCUCAGAGGGAGAAGGAAAUCACUGAAAACAUCUGUGACUUGGUUAUGCAAGGGAGAAAAUGGCGCAAAUAUUUUACAAAUCAGUGUCUUUGCUGCAAAUAAAUGGUAAAACUCGGGUAAUAUUUUGGCGAAUAGAAAUUAUUAAACCCUCCCAAGAGAAAAUUACGUUUUGCCGCUGUUGCAGAGGUGAAUAAAGUGUCAUUUCAAUGAAGACGUUUUAUGGCAAAUCUGUUGCACGCCACUUCCAUAAGGAUAGAAAUUGUUUUUUUCUUUUGGUCAGCCGGCAAACAAAGCUAUUUCUACUUGGAUUAUCAUUGAAUUUGUCAUAAUUAUCUAAAGGGUGUGUGGUGGUGCACUUGAACGUUUGGCCACCACCAGACAAAAUGGAGAUAUCUAUUGAAGAGAGAGUGGGGGAGGGGGAAUUUUUCAAUUUAACGGGGGUUUCAACUACAAAAAAGGUAAUAAAAAAUGUUACUGUGUGUAAGUCGCCAUAAUAAUUUGUCUGUUUACAAUUUCUUUUGUAGGUACCUAUUAAUUCAUAACACUUUGAGUGUGGUUAUUUUUUGUUAUUGUCGCUGUUGUUGUAAAAUAAAAUGAACAAGCGAAGGAAAAAAUAAACCAAAUAAUAAAUGAAUGAAUGAUGACCUUGAAGUUUUUAAAAACCACGACCAACCAACAGCCAAUUACUCAAAUAAUAGAGGAAUAAACAAACAAUCACACACAAGUUCCGUGCCCAAUUCAAUAUUUUUGCAAAAUGAAAAAAAAAAACAUUGUUUAAUAAUUUGCAAAGCUUUCGAAAAGAAAAUGAAAAUCGUUAAAAUUGAAAUAUUGGAAUUGAAAUAGAUUUGUUUAUUCUUAAAUUGAGAAAAAUUGGCAUGCAAUUUUUGAGUUGAAUGAGACGUAGAGAAGAAAUUCUGGAAAGAAGUGGAAUAUUCAGUCAUUUGUAAUCCAAAGCAUUUUGUAACCUAAAGUUAUCACAAAAUUCCAUUUCUAUGUGAAGAAAACAAUUAUUUCAACAACAUGAUGCCUCCUCCUUGUAUUUAUUUGCAAAAGUGAUAUCCAUGAAUGGAUAAAUGGAUGGAUGAUGUCAUUCCAUGUUUCAUUACGACUCUAAUUCUCAACUGAAAGUCAAAAGCCUUACAGCGCUUCUUAUCAUGGAAUUUGUUCAGUUCAAAGCGUUUUGCAUUUCAAUCUGGAGCCAAAGUCAAUAUAAUCAUGUGAAAUAUUUUAAAAAUAAUCUUUAACAAUGACGUUUGCUGAGAUUCCAUUAACAAAUUUAUUUAUUAUUUUUUUUGUCGAUUUUGAUAAAAAAAGAACGUCUGGUAUUUUUUUCUAUAUACCAUUGACCUCAAAUCAUUUUGACAAAAGCAAACAAAAACAACAAAUAGUAGAUUUUUUUUUGGUUUUGAAAUAUUUUGUUAUGGCAAUGACCACCAACAAGAAGUUUCUUCCCUGUCUGUGGGGAUAUACCAUCAUGCACAUUGCUUGCUAAUCACAUGCAAAAAAAGACGGUACCCCUCCCUCCCCCUCCUCAUUGUAUACGUAGAAAAAAAACUGUUCUGCUUUCUGUUUUGUUUUCUACGUAAAUGUC